AGGAGACAUAAUCUUUCUUUCUCUUUCCAUCUUGUACGGAUAUGACAAGAAAAUGGCUAUGUGACCCAGGAGGAUAGCCUUCACGAAGAACCUCACCAUGCUGGUACCUUGAUCUUGGAUUUCCAGCCUCCAGACUGUGCAUCAUGCACGAUAGAACUGCUGUACCCCAAAGCAAGCCAUAAAAUCUAGGAAGACUAUCUGACCCUCUCUUCUCCUCCCUGAAGACCCUUACAUGACAAGUGUCAUGCCCUAUGCCCAGAGGAAGAAAUGCUACACAGAGAGGCCAAGAAAAAUCUGAACACACAGGACUUGUUGGAAUUCCCCUCAAGUUAUUAUCAUUACAUCAUGCCUUUUUUGUCCAGUCAUAUUUCUACACAGCUGUCCAUUCUUCAUCGAACCUAAGCUUAAGAAUAUGCACUUCUCCCUGGGUCUCUGGGUCUUCAUUUCUGAGCGCUCCCAUGUGAUGUA
This 468-nucleotide long non-coding RNA is filed under the name Homo sapiens (human). RNAcentral's name for it is "non-protein coding lnc-EGLN3-2:1". The record is from RNAcentral. Lineage: Eukaryota; Metazoa; Chordata; Mammalia; Primates; Hominidae.